GACGAACGCUGGCGGCGUGCUUAACACAUGCAAGUCGAACGAUGAAGCCCUUUCGGGGGUGGAUUAGUGGCGAACGGGUGAGUAACACGUGGGUAACCUGCCCUGUACCCUGGGAUAAGCCUUGGAAACGAGGUCUAAUACCGGAUAUGACCUGCUCUCGCAUGGGGGUGGGUGGAAAGUUUUGGCGGUGCAGGAUGGACCCGCGGCCUAUCAGCUUGUUGGUGGGGUGAUGGCCUACCAAGGCGACGACGGGUAGCCGGCCUGAGAGGGCGACCGGCCACACUGGGACUGAGACACGGCCCAGACUCCUACGGGAGGCAGCAGUGGGGAAUAUUGCACAAUGGGGCGAAAGCCUGAUGCAGCGACGCCGCGUGAGGGAUGACGGCC
RNAcentral lists this ribosomal RNA (387 nucleotides) under uncultured bacterium. RNAcentral's name for it is "bacterial SSU rRNA". It matches the Rfam family "Bacterial small subunit ribosomal RNA", at positions 28 to 416 of the family's 1533-position model. The record is from RNAcentral.